This is a long non-coding RNA of Syngnathus typhle (broad-nosed pipefish), 980 nucleotides long. RefSeq lists it as uncharacterized. The transcript has 4 exons. The record is from RefSeq and is a predicted model, not a curated record. Lineage: Eukaryota; Metazoa; Chordata; Actinopteri; Syngnathiformes; Syngnathidae.
UCAUUAAGAACAUCGCAGUCCAUGCAUCAACAAGUCUUCAAAGGAAGCGUUGGAAAGAAUUCAAGGCAUGUGGUCAAGCGCGCCGUGUGACUUCAGCGAGCACCUCUGCAACUUGUGACCCGGCCAAGCGACAUUCAAGGCUCUCCAAGGGGCUCCGAGGCGAAUUACGUUGCGGGAUUCCCUGGUGUACCCACAUCAUGAUUGCUUCUUGUCACGUCGGCGGAACAUUUGCACUUGGCUUUGCAUAAUCACAAGCAAGGCCCUGAGGUCCGCCAGGAGUCGGCUACUGUCGCAGGGGCGCUGCCGGAUGGGGGACGAGAGGGCUGGCGGGAAGCUGAGGGAGGGAGGGCGGCGGCGGUGGCGGCGUUCAGCCCUUCUCUUUCACUAACGGGCAUCCAGGAAGCCUUGGGCCUGGCAUCACCUACGCGACAGAUCCACAUCAAGUCACGAUUUACGUUGUGCUGCCUCUGUACAAUGUGCCACGCCUUAUUCUUUGAUGACACAGCCAAAAUGUAAGGUGCAUGGAAGGCAAGACAGACAAAUGCAAAGAGUGCCAUGGGCAAUGAAAUCACCUGGAAUAGUCAAUCGAGAUGUCACUAGCAGCGCUUGAAAUACUAGUGCAAAUUUUCUGCUACGAAAGCACGGGGGACAGAGAUGGCGGCGGCAUCCCCGGCCAGCGGUGACCCACUUUUAUUUGGAGCUGCUGUUUUCCCCACUGUCACAGAAAGGUCUCACUUGCUAUGAGCUCAGCUUUCUUUUCUCUUUUGCUCCCCAUGAGACAUUUACAGCCACUUGAGUGCACCAAUACACAAAGCAUUCACAUGGACACGUGACAAUUUAGUUGUCCCACUUAUGAAUGUUGACGUUUAUUGGAGAUGGAAAGGAAACACAGAUGAAGUCUUUCUACUAUCUGCAGCACUAUUCAAAGUCAUUUCCCACUUUGGAAGUGGUUCAAAUUGAAAGGUUAUUUUGGGCUGGUU